Bubalus bubalis (water buffalo) is the source of this 1297-nucleotide long non-coding RNA. RefSeq lists it as uncharacterized. NCBI's taxonomy places the organism in Eukaryota, Metazoa, Chordata, Mammalia, Artiodactyla, Bovidae. The transcript is spliced from 3 exons. The record is from RefSeq and is a predicted model, not a curated record.
UUCUGGGAGAUAGUGAAGAACAGGGAAGACUGGCGUGCUGCAGUCCAUGGGGUCAGAGAGUCCGGCACAACUUAGCGACUGAACAACAAUUUAAAGUGAACAUUGUUGUUCUGUGUUUCAUUCAUAGCUGAAUCAUGCAGUACCUUUGCUGCUAAAUAGUGUGGUUGGUGUGCAGCAGUACAGGAUUCCCCAAGGAGCUUGUGAAAAUUUCACACUCGCUGGCCCCAGCCUGGAAUUCAGAUGCGUUUUGAAGAUUUAGCUUAUCUCCGGAAACACUCUCUAGUAUGCUAUGGUUAUUUUUGUUUUCCUUGGAGCUAAUUUUAUUUGCUUAGUUUUAUGAAUAUUUGAUGAAUUAUCAGUUGUCAAAAUGUCCUUUCAAAAAGCUUGUCCGUAUCAGGUAGAUGUUUUCUCUAAGGUUGAUCUGCUUCCCUGGAGAGAAGGCUGACAAGCUCCCAGGAUAAAGAUCUGGGCGCCUAGUGGGAGAAUGCAGAGUGGGCAAAUGGGUCUCAGCAUUUGGUCACUCAGUCAUGCUUUUAAUGCAACUUCCCUCCCUUAACUCUGCCCGUGCCCCCUCUCCAAGGAUCCCCCACUCUUUCCAGAGGAUAAACCUCCAGUCUACAUGGUUGUGAAUAAGGUAGUUCUUCAUUAAAUCCUCCUCUUUUUUUAGUUCCCUCCCAACAUUAAGAUACUCUUUGCAGUUAUUUUUAUAUUGGUGGUAAUGAUAACAAAAUUUCUGUACCCAAAGAGAGACUAGGUGGGGUAGGCAGAAUAUGCUGUUCUCCUGACCAUCAUCCAUCCUCGCAAAAAAAAAAACAGUAAAUAUAUUGCUUUCAUGGCAAAAAGCUUUGCAUGUGAGAUUAAGAAUCUUGAGCUGGAGAGAGUAUCCUGGGUUAUCCAGGUGGGCCCAGUGUAAUCACAGACAAGCUUAUAAAAGGGAAGCAGGGCUCAGUGUACUAGCGGGCCACAAAUGCGGAUACAGGCAGAGUGUGGAAGCUGAAAGCAAGAAAAUGGGUUCUCCUGUAUCUCCAGAAAUAAUGCAGCCCUGCCCACCUCUUUGGUGUAAGCACCAUCAUGGUGGGUCAUGUGACUUUUUACAAGCUCAAAAAGGAAUGUUGUCUUUUAAAGAGGUGUCUUCGUGCUGAGAGAAUGUUGCUGGUUAUGGUUUUGUAAGAAAAUAAGAAACAUCUGGAGCAUCUAGCCUAGCAGGGGCUCUGUCCCUGUCCCAAGAAUACUGUGUCUUCUACCAACAUCCAUGAGACAGAAGCAGGCUGCCUAUUAGAGUUUUAAGUCAGGUAAA